Molecule: long non-coding RNA, 555 nt
Filed under: Triticum aestivum (bread wheat)
Lineage: Eukaryota; Viridiplantae; Streptophyta; Magnoliopsida; Poales; Poaceae
Description: long non-coding RNA (TAES_LNC014179)
Source: RNAcentral
CGGCAACGGCAAUGUCGACUCCGGCCGCGCCGCCGGCCUCCCGUCCGCGUGCGGCCUCAGCGUCAGGUUCCUCCCAACCAGCCCCGACUUUGACUGCUCCCAGUACGUAUUUCUGCUUCCCCCUUGUUUUGUUCGUCCUUCCAUCAGCUGAUUUCUCAAGUUUUGCGUCACUGAACGAAAUACUGAAUUUCCUUGCAGGGUCCCCUGAAUACUGAAUACUUUCUUAAGUUCGUCCUUCCAUCAGCUGCUCACUCUAUCGCUGGCCUAAGGAUCGAAGAGCACAGAUAAGAAGAAGCACGGAGCUUCCAGUUGGCAGAUUUGUUGGUUCUCCCUUCGCUUUGCUUAGCUACCUAGGAGUUGGCAGAAUGAUUAUCUCUUGGAAAAUAUGAAUGACAAUCUUGUUGAAUGAUUCUUCUUUUAUAGUGGAAGAUCGUCGCGAGCUUUAUCUGUUACGGGUUUAGUAGCGGCUGAAUGUCAGCACGCUAUGGCUUAGCGCAGUCGUUUGUCAUAUGCGCGCUCACUGCUCUAUCGUGAGUGUAAACUCAAAGAUGAAAU